This 680-nucleotide long non-coding RNA is filed under the name Oryza sativa Indica Group (long-grained rice). RNAcentral describes it as "lncRNA OsZS97_08G012180". Lineage: Eukaryota; Viridiplantae; Streptophyta; Magnoliopsida; Poales; Poaceae. The record is from RNAcentral.
CUCCAAAGAUCCUUGGCAGGCAACCCUCUUUGACUUAGCCUCCAAGGCUAUUUUCGAAUUUCUUUCACUGACAGUGGGCCCCACACCCUCUGGGACCCACAUGACAGCCUCCACUCUCCCCUCACAGCAUCCACCGUCCCCCAUGCCCAAUGGAUGCCCAAGGAACACAAUGAAAGCACCAGCCACCUCUCUCUCUCUCACUCCCCCACUCCACUCUUCCUUAUAUCCCAAGCCAAAGCACCAGAAGCAACAGCACACUCCCCACAUCGCGUUCCAAGUCCAAGAAAAUACACCCCACGCACAGAAUGCCCAGAGCUCGGCCGUCUUACCCGGCUCCGGCGACUUAGCCGUUGUCGCCGUGCAUCCCUGGACCAAUCUGUCGAGCACGUGGUGGGCGUCACCGUCCUCGCCGCCGGCCACCCGAACCGCCGACACCGCUCCGGCCGCCGUUCCUCACCACCGAAGCAACACCGCUCCGGUGAGUUUCCGCCAGAUUCCUCGUGCAUGCACCCUCUGUGGCUCAUCUCUAACACCCCCGUACUCUCGAAGUUGCAGUUCGCGCCUUGAGUUGACCCGGCGACGUCGACGCUGGAGUUUUGCCGCCGUUGGCCAACAACCACCACCUCCUCCGCUCCCUGGACCUCGCUGCCUCCGUUUCUCUGCUUGGUGAGCACCCUGGU